RNAcentral lists this ribosomal RNA (522 nucleotides) under Progomphus obscurus. RNAcentral's name for it is "SSU rRNA". It matches the Rfam family "Eukaryotic small subunit ribosomal RNA", at positions 631 to 1126 of the family's 1831-position model. Lineage: Eukaryota; Metazoa; Arthropoda; Insecta; Odonata; Gomphidae. The record is from RNAcentral.
UAGUCGGAGGUGUGUCUCGGACGGUCGGUUCGCCGCUUGUCGGUGCUCAACUGGCCGGUCCGGACGUCCUGCCGGUGGGGCUAUAAAAGGCUCCGUUAUCCUUCUUUGGUCCUCUUCAUUGAGUGCCUUGGUGGGCCGGCACGUUUACUUUGAACAAAUUAGAGUGCUCAAAGCAGGCCGUUGGUCGCCUGAAUACUGUGUGCAUGGAAUAAUGGAAUAGGACCUCGGUUCCAUUUUGUUGGUUUUCAGAACUUGAGGUAAUGAUUAAUAGGGACGGACGGGGGCAUUCGUAUUGCGACGUUAGAGGUGAAAUUCUUGGAUCGUCGCAAGACGAACCGAUGCGAAAGCAUUUGCCAAGAACGUUUUCGUUGAUCAAGAACGAAAGUUAGAGGUUCGAAGGCGAUCAGAUACCGCCCUAGUUCUAACCAUAAACGAUGCCAGCUAGCCAUCCGCCGAAGUUCCUUAUAUGACUCGGCGGGCAGCUUCCGGGAAACCAAAGCUCUUGGGUUCCGGGGGAAGUAU